CAUGCAAGUCGAGCGACGCAUUCCUUAGCCCGUAAGGGCGGGUUUGACGGAGCGGCGAACGGGUGCGUAACACGUGACCAAUCUGCCCCGAAGACCGGGAUAGCCCGGGGAAACCCGGAUUAAUACCGGAUGACCUCAUCACCACGCAUGUGGAGAUGAGCAAAGGUUCAGGCGCUUCGGGAUGAGGUCGCGGCCCAUCAGCUUGUUGGUGAGGUAACGGCUCACCAAGGCAAUGACGGGUAGCUGGUCUGAGAGGACGAUCAGCCACACUGGAACUGAGAUACGGUCCAGACUCCUACGGGAGGCAGCAGGAGGGAAUCUUGCGCAAUGGGCGAAAGCCUGACGCAGCGACGCCGCGUGGGGGAUGAAUGCCUUAGGGUUGUAAACCCCUUUCACGAGGGAAGAAACUGACGGUACCUCGAGAAGAAGCCCCGGCCAACUACGUGCCAGCAGCCGCGGUAAUACGUAGGGGGCGAGCGUUGUCCGGAUUUAUUGGGCGUAAAGGGCUCGUAGGCGGCUUGGCAAGUCGGCCGUGAAAACCCAGGGCUCAACUCUGGGACGCCGGUCGAUACUGCCAUGGCUAGGGUCCGGUAGAGGGGAAUGGAAUUCCCGGUGUAGCGGUGGAAUGCGCAGAUAUCGGGAGGAACACCAGUAGCGAAGGCGGUUCCCUGGGCCGGCACCGACG
This 685-nucleotide ribosomal RNA is filed under the name uncultured bacterium. RNAcentral describes it as "bacterial SSU rRNA". It matches the Rfam family "Bacterial small subunit ribosomal RNA", at positions 54 to 745 of the family's 1533-position model. The record is from RNAcentral.